CCAGACUCCUACGGGAGGCAGCAGUGAGGAAUAUUGGUCAAUGGCCGAAGGGCUGAACCAGCCAAGCCGCGUGAAGGAAUAAGGCCCUACGGGUCGUAAACUUCUUUAGUCAGGGAACAAAGGGUGCCACGUGUGGCGCUGUGAGUGUACCUGAAGAAUAAGCAUCGGCUAACUCCGUGCCAGCAGCCGCGGUAAUACGGAGGAUGCGAGCGUUAUCCGGAUUUAUUGGGUUUAAAGGGUGCGCAGGCGGAAUGUCAAGUCAGCGGUAAAAUUUCGGGGUUCAACCCCGUCGUGCCGUUGAAACUGGCGUUCUUGAGUGAGCGAGAAGUAUGCGGAAUGCGUGGUGUAGCGGUGAAAUGCAUAGAUACCACGCAGAACUCCGAUUGCGAAGGCAGCAUACCGGCGCUCAACUGACGCUCAUGCACGAAAGCGUGGGUAUCGAACAGGAUUAGAACCCGCGUA
RNAcentral lists this ribosomal RNA (462 nucleotides) under uncultured bacterium. RNAcentral describes it as "bacterial SSU rRNA". It matches the Rfam family "Bacterial small subunit ribosomal RNA", at positions 331 to 792 of the family's 1533-position model. The record is from RNAcentral.